AGAGUUUGAUCCUGGCUCAGAUUGAACGCUGGCGGUAGGCCUAACACAUGCAAGUCGAACGGUAACGGACCGCUGGGAUCCCUUCGGGGUGACCUUGGUGCCGACGAGUGGCGGACGGGUGAGUAACACGUAGGAAUCUGCCCAACAGUGGGGGACAACCCGGAGAAAUCCGGGCUAAUACCGCAUACGCCCUAUGGGGGAAAGCGGGGGAUCUUCGGACCUCGCGCUGUUGGAGGAGCCUGCGUCGGAUUAGCUUGUUGGUGAGGUAAAGGCUCACCAAGGCGACGAUCCGUAGCUGGUCUGAGAGGAUGAUCAGCCACACUGGGACUGAGACACGGCCCAGACUCCUACGGGAGGCAGCAGUGGGGAAUAUUGCACAAUGGGCGAAAGCCUGAUGCAGCCAUACCGCGUGUGUGAAGAAGGCCCUCGGGUUGUAAAGCACUUUCGUUAGGGAAGAAAGGUGCGGAGUUAAUACCUCCGUACUGUGACGGUACCUAAAUAAGAAGCACCGGCUAACUCCGUGCCAGCAGCCGCGGUAAUACGGAGGGUGCAAGCGUUCAUCGGAAUCACUGGGCGUAAAGCGCGCGUAGGCGGUUUGGUCAGUCAGAUGUGAAAGCCCCGGGCUCAACCUGGGAACUGCAUUUGAUACUGCCGAACUAGAGUGUAGUAGAGGGAAGCGGAAUUCCGAGUGUAGCGGUGAAAUGCGUAGAUAUUCGG
RNAcentral lists this ribosomal RNA (717 nucleotides) under uncultured bacterium. RNAcentral describes it as "bacterial SSU rRNA". It matches the Rfam family "Bacterial small subunit ribosomal RNA", at positions 8 to 701 of the family's 1533-position model. The record is from RNAcentral.